GCUUGUACCAGGCUGUGGCAAUCUGUGGUGAAGUUGAAAUGCUUUUCUGCUAGACUGGCAACACGUUUUGAUUCUUCUCAAAUAACUUACAAGCUCUUGUGAAGCACAACGGCCUACCUUGUCUUGAAGAAAACAUACUCUAAGGCCCACAGAUGAUUAAACCCAGCAAUGUAUGUGACAAUAGCAUUUUUAUUUUUCUUAUCAAGAUGUGAGUAUUUGAUCCACACAAUGGUAAAGAUUCCCAAGUUAGCCAAGAUCUAAAUUAUUCAAAUUGAUGAUACUCUGCAGAAGAGACGACCAUAAACGCAGCCCCUGUGAUGCAAACUGGAGAUAUUAUGGAGAUAGCUGCUAUGGGUUCUUCAAACACAACUUGACAUGGAAAGAGAGUGAGCAGUACUGCACUGACAUGAAUGCUACUCUCCUGAAGAUUGACAACCAGAACAUUCUGUGGAUAGAAGUCAAGGACUCCAAUGUCACAAGAUGAAAGAAUCCCAAGUCUCAUUUGGAGGAAUGCUAUCACUAACUAGGAUUCCUGGAGCUAAAACAUUACGUAAGACACAAACUUUUAUUGUGUUAAGUUACUGAUAUUUUGAGGUUUAUUUAUCACAGUAAGUAGCAUUACACUAACAGAUAUACAGUGUGUAAAUUUAUUUUAAGGUUGAAAUCCCUUCCUAGCUUUGUUGUUUAAGGCUACCCAGUGAUCUCCCACCCUUUACACCGUGGUUUGCCCAAUGUGAGUUAUCUUUAUAUCUUCACUAUCUACGUCACCCCAUGCUUCAUCUCCUAUACCAAAUGCAAGUGCGUUCUUUGCACUUACAUCUCUUUCUUCCGAACUCACUGCUAUCACCUUCAACAUCUGCUACAUUUUGGAAACCAGAUAAAAAAUGUUCUAUCAUUGGCCAUUCUAAAUUCAGUUCUCUCUCAUUUCCUUUUUCACCAAGUUGUGUUUUGGCUUAGACUUCAUAAACUUCCACUUUCUGAAUGAAGGUGCAUCUAUUCUACUCCUUAAACACAAAUAUAUUUUCCCACUACUGUGAAAAUGUAACCAAUUUCAGUUCUCACACCAACCUGCUCCAAACCACAAGAGGAGUUAUUUGUUCCAGCCUCCUGUGUGGACUGCUUUCCUAUCAAAGCACCUCAGACAUGCAUGAGGAAGAAAUGUACAGCUCUCUUCAGUGGGAUAGCCCAGCACCAGACACUUACCAGAAAUGUCUGUCUUCCAACAAAUGUUCGGGUAACCAGUUCUAACUAUUUUGUGUGAGACUUUAGAGUUCAUGGUUUUGUUUUUUUU
RNAcentral lists this small RNA (1291 nucleotides) under Pongo abelii (Sumatran orangutan). Its description in RNAcentral is "processed transcript". The record is from RNAcentral. Lineage: Eukaryota; Metazoa; Chordata; Mammalia; Primates; Hominidae.